RNAcentral lists this ribosomal RNA (234 nucleotides) under uncultured Actinomycetales bacterium. RNAcentral describes it as "partial 16S ribosomal RNA". It matches the Rfam family "Bacterial small subunit ribosomal RNA", at positions 99 to 334 of the family's 1533-position model. Lineage: Bacteria; Bacillati; Actinomycetota; Actinomycetes; Actinomycetales. The record is from RNAcentral.
CGAACGGGUGAGUAACACGUGAGUAACCUGCCCACAACUUUGGGAUAACGCUAGGAAACUGGUGCUAAUACUGGAUAUGUGCUCCUGCUGCAUGGUGGGGGUUGGAAAGCUCCGGCGGUUGUGGAUGGACUCGCGGCCUAUCAGCUUGUUGGUGGGGUAAUGGCCUACCAAGGCGGCGACGGGUAGCCGGCCUGAGAGGGUGUACGGCCACAUUGGGACUGAGAUACGGCCCAG